CAGCCUUAAACACCAAUUGGUCCAAGCAAGCUAGAAAGUAAAGCAAAAGCAACCAACAAAAUCAAACAGAAAGAAGGCAAAUUCUUUUGCUUUAUUUGGUUUCCACUUACAUUUCAACAUUAACAAAAUAUAGCAACAUUAAACAUCCCCCCCGCGGGGGAACCCUUUUUUUCAGAGUCACUUAGGAUUACUAACAACUCUGCUAAUUAGAGUUCAAUGAACAGAACCAGGAACAAAAACCACGUGAGCCUAUCCAACUGCAAGUGGAUCAGAUCACAAAAUAUUUUCUAGCCCCCAAGGAACAUAAAAGGAACGAUUUUUAAUUAAUUAAAGGGUAAUUAAAGCUCAUAACAAAAUAAAAGGGGGCAUUUAAAGCUAAUCCAGUUCCAUUGUCUAGGAUGACGAUAGUUAGAAUCUAACCUGGGUUUAAGAUGGGAAGGAUCUGCCAUGAAAACGAAGAAAUUGUUAAUUGGAAACAAAUAUGGGAUUUUAAAAGAGAGAGAGAGAGAGAGAGAGAGAGAGAGAGAGAUUUUGACAGAGAAUAAGAAUUUAUACGUAUAGUUUGGAUUUGAUUGGAAUCACUGAAACUCUGAACUUGUGAAGGGAGAGAGAGAGAAUGGAUCAAGUUCUGUUCAGUUUAAUAGCUUUAGUAAAUGAAUCUAAAUUUUCAUAGCCAGAUAGGGAAAACCAAA
This 692-nucleotide long non-coding RNA is filed under the name Arachis ipaensis. Its description in RNAcentral is "long non-coding RNA (AIPA_LNC001805)". The record is from RNAcentral. Lineage: Eukaryota; Viridiplantae; Streptophyta; Magnoliopsida; Fabales; Fabaceae.